This 345-nucleotide RNase P RNA is filed under the name Bacteroidales bacterium. RNAcentral describes it as "RNase P RNA component class A". It matches the Rfam family "Bacterial RNase P class A". Rfam says of the family: Ribonuclease P (RNase P) is a ubiquitous endoribonuclease, found in archaea, bacteria and eukarya as well as chloroplasts and mitochondria. Its best characterised activity is the generation of mature 5'-ends of tRNAs by cleaving the 5'-leader elements of precursor-tRNAs. The record is from RNAcentral. Lineage: Bacteria; Pseudomonadati; Bacteroidota; Bacteroidia; Bacteroidales.
AAGGCGGGACAUUCCGUCGCCUCCCGAAAGGGGGGAGGAAAGUCCGGACAGCACAGGGCGCCUCCCUGCGGAAAGCGCAGAAGGGAGUAAUCUUUUGGUCGGCGUAACAGAAAACAACCGCCUCACCGGGCAGAAAUGCCUUUGAGGUAAGGGUGAAAACGCGAGGCAAGAGCUCACGACCGGCGUCGGCGACGCCGCCGGGGUACGCUCCGGAGGGCUGCAAGACCAAAUAUACCGGCAGAUGAGGGCUGCCCGCCCGAUGCCGGGGGGUAGGUUGCAUCAGAUAAAUGACGGAAGCCCGGCCCGCGCCGGGAACAGAAUUCGGCUUACCGUCCCGCCUUUUUU